CUACGGGUGGCACCAGUGAGGAAUUUUGCGCAAUGGGGGGAACCCUGACGCAGCAACGCCGCGUGAGUGAUGAAGGCUUUCGGGUCGUAAAGCUCUGUCAAGUGGGAAGAACCUAUGCAGUGUUAAUAUCACUGUAUACUGACGGUACCACUGAAGGAAGCACCGGCUAACUCCGUGCCAGCAGCCGCGGUAAUACGGGGGGUGCAAGCGUUAUUCGGAAUCAUUGGGCGUAAAGGGCACGUAGGCGGCUUGGUAAGUCAGAUGUGAAAGCCCGGGGCUUAACCCCGGAAGUGCAUUUGAUACUGUCAGGCUGGAGUAUGGGAGAGGGAAGUGGAAUUCCUGGUGUAGAGGUGAAAUUCGUAGAUAGCAGGAGGAACACCGGUGGCGAAGGCGACUGCCUGGACCAAUACUGACGCUGAGGUGCGAAGGCGUGGGUAGCAAACAGGAUUAGAUACCCGGGUAGUC
Molecule: ribosomal RNA, 465 nt
Filed under: uncultured bacterium
Lineage: Bacteria
Description: partial 16S ribosomal RNA
Rfam family: Bacterial small subunit ribosomal RNA
Source: RNAcentral